RNAcentral lists this non-coding RNA (31 nucleotides) under Rattus norvegicus (Norway rat). The record is from RNAcentral. Lineage: Eukaryota; Metazoa; Chordata; Mammalia; Rodentia; Muridae.
UGGCAUUGUUGUUCAUAUGGGGUCUCGAGCC